This 361-nucleotide ribosomal RNA is filed under the name uncultured bacterium. RNAcentral's name for it is "bacterial SSU rRNA". It matches the Rfam family "Bacterial small subunit ribosomal RNA", at positions 699 to 1058 of the family's 1533-position model. The record is from RNAcentral.
GAUAAAAACACUAGUUGUCCUAAGGCGACUACCUGGACUGAUACUGACACUGAGGUGCGAAAGCGUGGGGAGCAUUAGGAUAAAAUACCCUGGUAGUCCACGCCGUAAACGAUGUCUACUAGCCGUUGGGGGUCUUGAACUCUUAGUGGCGCAGCUAACGCAUUAAGUUGACCGCCUGGGGAGUACGGCCGCAAGGUUAAAACUCAAAUGAAUUGACGGGGGCCCGCACAAGCGGUGGAGCAUGUGGUUUAAUUCGAAGCAACGCGAAGAACCUUACCAGGCCUUGACAUCCAAUGAACUUUCUAGAGAUAGAUUGGUGCCUUCGGGAACAUUGAGACAGGUGCUGCAUGGCUGUCGUCAG